This 1374-nucleotide ribosomal RNA is filed under the name Macridiscus semicancellata. RNAcentral describes it as "16S ribosomal RNA". The stretch from base 825 to 1183 matches the Rfam family "Archaeal large subunit ribosomal RNA", at positions 2151 to 2715 of the family's 2987-position model. Lineage: Eukaryota; Metazoa; Mollusca; Bivalvia; Venerida; Veneridae. The record is from RNAcentral.
AUACGAAUUGAGAUAAUAAAAAGUGUGUAUUGAUUAAAGAAAGAUUAUUGAGAAUCCGAGAGGACCAGAAAAUUAAAGUAAUAAAAUUUAUUGAGUAGAGUUCUUUUUGUAUUAUGAUUUAUAAAGUGAAUAAUAAAAUUAUUUUUCCCGAAAAUCCUAGAGCUACUAUCUAAGGGAUGAUUGUUGCAGAAAUCAUUUGAAUUUGAUAGUAGAAGUGAAAUGUUUUUCGAAAGGGUUGGUAGCUGGUUAGGGGGAAAAUACAUUUCAGUGUAGAGGUGGUCAAGGUUGAAAAUAUUAUUAUAAUCGAUUUUCCAUUAUUAAGAUUUUCUGGGAUAAGCUAGGAAAUACAAUUAAAUAAAAAAGUAAGUAAGUAGGAUUAGAAGUGUCUACCUUAUAAAAAGUUAGUAACAAGGUGUUUUUUAUCAAACGUUUAUUUAGUACCCUCUGUUUUUUAUUAAUAUUAUAAGAUGCAUAAGUAUAAAAUUAGUAGCUGGCAUUUAACUUGGUGAAUUAAUUAAUAAGCUAUUACUAAUAAUAAAUUUGUUAUUAGUUAUCUAGUAAAAUAAGUUAAUUAUAAUACUCUUCAAAGGAACUCGACAAAUAUUCUCUUCGCCUGUUUAACAAAAACAUGGCUUUUUGUUUAGUCUAAGAUCAAAAGUCGGACCUGCCCAGUGAGAUAUUAAACGGUUGCGACGAGAGUUGUACUAAGGUAGCGCGAUAAUUUGUCUUUUUAUUGGGGAAUGGGAUGAAGGGUUUGACGAAGAGUGAUUGUCUCUGAAGAGAAAAGUGAAGUUUCCUUUUAAAUGAAAAGGUUUAAGUGAUAUUAAAAGACGAGAAGACCCUAUCGAGCUUGAUUAAACAAAGAAUUAAUUAUCAAAAGAAAUAUUAUGUUAGUAGAUUGAGUAAAAUUCUAUUGUUAAAGUUUAGUUGGGGUAAGCUGGUUUAAAAACAAUUAAGCCAAAACGGGUGAAGAUCCUUUUUGAAAGAAAAUAGCAAAAGCUACCGUAGGGAUAACAGCGUAAUUUUUCUUGAGAGGCCUUAUUUAGGGAAAAGUUUGCGACCUCGAUGUUGGAUUAGAAAAACUCUUCGGUGUAGCCGCUGAAGAAUGUAAGACUGUUCGUCUAUUAAUUUUCUACAUGAUCUGAGUUCAGACCGGCGCGAGCUAGGUCGGUUUCUAUCUUUAUUUAUUACUACCACUGUACGAAAGGAUCCGGUUGUAGAGUUUUAUUCUAGAAUUUAGCUAAUUUAAUUAGUUUGCCUCAAUUUGCGCCUGUGUUUUUUGGUUUGGUGUUUAUAAUAAUGUGAUUAGACUUUGUUUCUAAGUUGUGUUUAAGUUGAUGAAGUUGUAAACGGUCUUAUAAUUUUUAAAUAGAU